GUCCAAGAAUCCGAUGGGAUCGCCGGCACAGGCGUAUGAUCAAGAACCGUGAAUCUGCAGCUCGAUCAAGAGCUAGGAAACAGGCUUACACCAAUGAGUUGGAGAUUGAAGUUUCACAUCUUAUGGAAGAGAAUGCAAGACUAAGAGAGAGCAAGAACAGUUACGCGCAGGUGGUGCCUCUCCGCUUUCUAAAAAGCGCACGCUUACGUUAACGGCUCCAUUUUGAGGAAAAAUAGAUCCGUCCAUGCUUUCCUUUUAACAGUAACCC
Molecule: long non-coding RNA, 268 nt
Organism: Hibiscus syriacus
Lineage: Eukaryota; Viridiplantae; Streptophyta; Magnoliopsida; Malvales; Malvaceae
Exons: 3
Source: RefSeq, a predicted model, not a curated record